RNAcentral lists this ribosomal RNA (847 nucleotides) under uncultured bacterium. RNAcentral describes it as "bacterial SSU rRNA". It matches the Rfam family "Bacterial small subunit ribosomal RNA", at positions 28 to 876 of the family's 1533-position model. The record is from RNAcentral.
GAUGAACGCUGGCGGCGUGCCUAAUACAUGCAAGUCGAGCGAGAAGUCUGUAGAUGAAGCUUCGGUAGAUUCAGCAGACGGAAAGCGGCGGACGGGUGAGUAACGCGUAGGCAACCUGCCUCAUACAGAGGGAUAGCCAUUGGAAACGAUGAUUAAAACCUCAUAACACGAUGGGUUCACAUGAACCCAUGGUCAAAGAUUUAUCGGUGUGAGAUGGGCCUGCGUCUGAUUAACUAGUUGGUGAGGUAACGGCUCACCAAGGUGACGAUCAGUAGCCGACCUGAGAGGGUGAUCGGCCACAUUGGAACUGAGACACGGUCCAAACUUCUACGGAAGGCAGCAGUAGGGAAUCUUGCACAAUGGGCGAAAGCCUGAUGCAGCAACGCCGCGUGAAGGAAGAAGGUCCUAGGAUUGCAAACUUCUGUUCUUGGGGAAUAAACAAAUGACGGUACCCAAGGAGGAAGCCCCGGCUAAAUACGUGCCAGCAGCCGCGGUAAUACGUAUGGGGCAAGCGUUAUCCGGAAUUAUUGGGCGUAAAGAGUGCGUAGGUGGUAAUUUAAGCGCAAGGUUUAAUGUACAGGCUCAACCUGUAUUUGCCUUGCGAACUGGGUUACUUGAGUGCAGGAGGGGAAAGCGGAAUUCCUAGUGUAGCGGUGAAAUGCGUAGAUAUUAGGAAGAACACCGGCGGCGAAGGCGGCUUUCUGGACUGCAACUGACACUGAGGCACGAAAGCGUGGGGAGCAAACAGGAUUAGAUACCCUGGUAGUCCACGCUGUAAACGAUGAGCACUAGUGUCGGGGUCGAAUGAUCUCGGUGCCGCAGUUAACGCAAUAAGUGCUCCGCCUGG